Molecule: ribosomal RNA, 497 nt
Filed under: uncultured bacterium
Lineage: Bacteria
Description: partial 16S ribosomal RNA
Rfam family: Bacterial small subunit ribosomal RNA
Source: RNAcentral
GAUGAACGCUGGCGGCGUGCCUAAUACAUGCAAGUCGAGCGAACAGACGAGGAGCUUGCUCCUCUGACGUUAGCGGCGGACGGGUGAGUAACACGUGGAUAACCUACCUAUAAGACUGGGAUAACUUCGGGACACCGGAGCUAAUACCGGAUAAUAUAUUGCACCGCAUGGUUCAAUAGUGAAAUACGGCUUUGCUGUCACUUAUAGAUGGAUCCGCGCCGCAUUAGCUAGUUGGUAAGGUAACGGCCUAUCAAGGCGACGAUGCGUAGCCGACCUGAGAGGGGGGUAGGCCGCACGAGAGGGGGAACGGGGACAAGAGGACUGAGAGACGGAGCAGAAGGGUAUGGGACGCAGUAGGGGGGAACAUGGCAGAACGGGGGGGAGUGAGAGGUAGAAAUGUUGGGAGCGGGAAACUGUGUUAUUGGGGGAGAACAGAUGUGGAAGUAGAUAUGCAGGGAGUGACGGUAACGGGUAAGAAAGCAACGGCUAACUACGUG